AAAUUAUAUAUAUGUAUAUAUGUAUACACACACACAUAUAUAUGUAUAUGUAUAUAUGUAUAUACACGUAUGUUUUGUGUAUGGGUGUGUAUCUG
This 95-nucleotide microRNA precursor is filed under the name Tupaia belangeri (northern tree shrew). Its description in RNAcentral is "miRNA (ENSTBEG00000021087.1)". Lineage: Eukaryota; Metazoa; Chordata; Mammalia; Scandentia; Tupaiidae. The record is from RNAcentral.